RNAcentral lists this ribosomal RNA (253 nucleotides) under uncultured bacterium. RNAcentral's name for it is "partial 16S ribosomal RNA". It matches the Rfam family "Bacterial small subunit ribosomal RNA", at positions 524 to 776 of the family's 1533-position model. The record is from RNAcentral.
UACGAAGGGGGCUAGCGUUGCUCGGAACGACUGGGCGUAAAGGGCGCGUAGGCGGCUUGCACCGUCAGAUGUGAAAUUCCUGGGCUUAACCUGGGGGCUGCAUUUGAUACGUGUGGGCUUGAGUGCGGAAGAGGGUCGUGGAAUUCCCAGUGUAGAGGUGAAAUUCGUAGAUAUUGGGAAGAACACCGGUGGCGAAGGCGGCGACCUGGUCCGUGACUGACGCUGAGGCGCGAAAGCGGGGGGAGCAAACAGG